CUGUCCCAUCCAGUGUCUGAAUGAAAAAGUUAUGGCACAAAGAUCUUGGAAGUCUGUAUUUCACCACAUUUUCCUUUCCAAUAUCUGGCAGGUGGUUAAAAUCUCCCAUACAAAUGAGGAACUGUGAUCCAGAGGCUCCCUCAGGUUUUAGAGAGAUUUCAUCCACUUUCUUGCUGUGCUGGUUUGACCCCAGUUGAAGGCCAGGUGCCACCAAAGCCACUCUAUCACUCCCUUCUCGACUGGACAGGCAGGAGUAAGAUGGCUAAGCAGCAGAACUCAUUAAAGAAGUAUGAGAUUCCCCAGGGCUAUUGAAUCAAGCUUGAAGUAAAAAAUGUCUUAAUCAUCUCUUUUAA
This is a long non-coding RNA of Neopelma chrysocephalum (saffron-crested tyrant-manakin), 353 nucleotides long. RefSeq lists it as uncharacterized. The record is from RefSeq and is a predicted model, not a curated record. The transcript has 2 exons. NCBI's taxonomy places the organism in Eukaryota, Metazoa, Chordata, Aves, Passeriformes, Pipridae.